GAUACAAGGGUCAAAAGGUCAUGCGUUUCAUGCUUGCAUGAAAAAGCAUGACUUAUUGCCCCGCAAAACACCGAAAAGUAGCCAUUUUUUGUAGAAAAAUGAGCGGAUUUGAGGUGUUUUAGGAUUGCGAGAGCAUGAAAUGCGGAGCAAUCCGUGU
Molecule: small RNA, 157 nt
Filed under: human gut metagenome
Description: Clostridiales-1 RNA
Rfam family: Clostridiales-1 RNA
Source: RNAcentral